UUCUUAUAGAAAUUUUUAUAAGUAAUACCUGCUCAAUGAAUAAUUUUUAAUAGCCGCGGAAAUUUAACUGUGCUAAGGUAGCAUAAUCAUUAGCCUCUUAAUUAGAGGCUUGUAUGAAUGGUAAAACAUUUCAAUUUCUUUAUUAAUUUUAAUUCUUUAAUUUAAAUUAAGAAUAAAAAUGUUUCUUAUAAAUAAAAAAGACGACAAGACCCUUUUGAACUUUACUUUAGUUUAGCUGGGGCAGCUAUUAAAUAAUUAUCUUUUUCUAAUUUAUUAAAUAAAUGACCUAAUAUAAUUAAUUAUUUGAACAAGUUACCAUAGGGAUAACAGCGUAAUAUUUUUCUAAAGUUCUUAUUUAAAAAAGUGAUUACGACCUCGAUGUUGAAUUAAUGUAACUAUAUAGAUGCAAUACUCUUAAAAGUAGGUCUGUUCGACCUUUAAAUCAUU
RNAcentral lists this ribosomal RNA (447 nucleotides) under Neoscona nautica (brown sailor spider). Its description in RNAcentral is "partial 16S ribosomal RNA". It matches the Rfam family "Bacterial large subunit ribosomal RNA", at positions 1831 to 2597 of the family's 2925-position model. The record is from RNAcentral. Lineage: Eukaryota; Metazoa; Arthropoda; Arachnida; Araneae; Araneidae.